GCCUCAUUGACAAUUCCUUCGGGCUUUAUCUCAUCCAAGUGAAAAGUCACAUGCUUUGCAUCAACCAAAGUAACAACACCAUCCAGCUUGACAUCAUUGAAAACUUUAUCCUCAGCAUAAAACGUCUGGAUAAUAGGUGAUGGAUUGGCUAGGCCUGUAGUUUCUAUUACAAUGUGAUCAAAAUUUCCUUUUUUCUUCUGAACCAGUUCUGAUAUCA
Molecule: unclassified non-coding RNA, 217 nt
Filed under: Hevea brasiliensis (rubber tree)
Lineage: Eukaryota; Viridiplantae; Streptophyta; Magnoliopsida; Malpighiales; Euphorbiaceae
Source: RNAcentral